Molecule: long non-coding RNA, 519 nt
Organism: Solea solea (common sole)
Lineage: Eukaryota; Metazoa; Chordata; Actinopteri; Pleuronectiformes; Soleidae
Exons: 3
Source: RefSeq, a predicted model, not a curated record
AAACAGGAUGAGCAGCAGCUCUAACGAAUUUUUGCCACGAUCCACAAAAUCUCCAUUGAAGACGUACGGUCUCUCAGAGGACGGCAAACCAUUCUGGACAAAUGAAGUUCAAGGUGGAGACAUGAUUGAUGUUUGUAAGAAUUCGUAAAAGUCUCCAAGUCUCUCCAAGAAGCUGCAAAACAUACCGAGCAUGGAGCUGCUACUGGGGGAAAAAAAAACAGACUGGAAGAUGUUCCAUGUGCACCUGCGUCUGAUCUCCAGUCGAGCCACAUACUGACGGUACCAGCGCUGGAUCAACAGAGCUGCUCUGAUGGCUGAGACAGAAGAAGGAGAUUGACUGUCUUUCCAGUGUGUAGGCCAUUUAUUUUUUUUAAUUCACUAUGUCAGAUCUAGACUGACUGACUCACCAAUGGCAGCUUCACAGGGUGCAUUAAAUGUUAGUAAACAUUGCAAAAGGUCAGUGUUGAGUCAAUCUGACAUUUUUUCUUUGAUUUUUUUUUUCUUUUUUCUUUUUUCUUU